AACCUAUUAGCUCAAAUGGAAGAGCAUGUGCUAUGCGCAAGAUGUGGGUUCGAUUCCCACACAGGUUA
Beta vulgaris subsp. vulgaris (sugar beet) is the source of this 68-nucleotide non-coding RNA. The record is from Rfam. NCBI's taxonomy places the organism in Eukaryota, Viridiplantae, Streptophyta, Magnoliopsida, Caryophyllales, Amaranthaceae.